AUAUUGGUGAUGGGGGCAUUGAGCAAGUAACAACUCAAAUCGUUCCCAAGCCUUAUAAAUAGGUUCCCCUUCCAUCUGAGAAAAUGUGCAUAUCUUAUUCCACAAAUCU
Small nucleolar RNA from Coffea eugenioides, 109 nucleotides. NCBI's taxonomy places the organism in Eukaryota, Viridiplantae, Streptophyta, Magnoliopsida, Gentianales, Rubiaceae. The record is from RefSeq and is a predicted model, not a curated record.